UACGUAGGCAGCGAGCGUUGUUCGGAGUUACUGGGCGUAAAGCGUGCGUAGGCGGCGGCCCAAGUCUGGUGUGAAAUCUCCCGGCUUAACCGGGAGGGUGCGCCGGAAACUGGGUUGCUGGAGUGCCGGAGAGGCAGGCGGAAUUCCUGGUGUAGCGGUGAAAUGCGUAGAUAUCCGGAGGAACACCGGUGGCGAAGGCGGCUUCCUGGACCGACACUGACGCUGAGGCGCGAAAGCUAGGGGAGCAAACGGG
RNAcentral lists this ribosomal RNA (253 nucleotides) under uncultured bacterium. RNAcentral describes it as "partial 16S ribosomal RNA". It matches the Rfam family "Bacterial small subunit ribosomal RNA", at positions 524 to 776 of the family's 1533-position model. The record is from RNAcentral.